AGCGUAGACGGUGUGGCAAGUCUGAUGUGAAAGGCAUGGGCUCAACCUGUGGACUGCAUUGGAAACUGUCAUACUUGAGUGCCGGAGGGGUAAGCGGAAUUCCUAGUGUAGCGGUGAAAUGCGUAGAUAUUAGGAGGAACACCAGUGGCGAAGGCGGCUUACUGGACGGUAACUGACGUUGAGGCUCGAAAGCGUGGGGAGCGAACA
Molecule: ribosomal RNA, 207 nt
Filed under: uncultured bacterium
Lineage: Bacteria
Description: partial 16S ribosomal RNA
Rfam family: Bacterial small subunit ribosomal RNA
Source: RNAcentral